GUGCUGGCUUUGGAAGCACACAUACUAAAAGUUAGAGUGAUACAGAGAGAAUUAGCGUGGCCCCUGCACAAGGAGGACAUACAAAUUUGUGAGGCAUUCCAUAUCUUU
Molecule: small nuclear RNA, 108 nt
Organism: Cavia porcellus (domestic guinea pig)
Lineage: Eukaryota; Metazoa; Chordata; Mammalia; Rodentia; Caviidae
Source: Ensembl